RNAcentral lists this ribosomal RNA (253 nucleotides) under uncultured bacterium. RNAcentral's name for it is "partial 16S ribosomal RNA". It matches the Rfam family "Bacterial small subunit ribosomal RNA", at positions 524 to 776 of the family's 1533-position model. The record is from RNAcentral.
UACGGAGGGUGCAAGCGUUAUUCGGAAUUAUUGGGCGUAAAGCGCGUGUAGGCGGGGAUACAAGUCUGAUGUGAAAGCCCUGGGCUUAACCCGGGAAGUGCAUUGGAAACUGUAUUUCUUGAGUACUGGAGAGGAAGGGGGAAUUCCCGGUGUAGAGGUGAAAUUCGUAGAGAUCGGGAGGAAUACCAGUGGCGUAGGCGCCUUUCUGGACGGUUACUGACGCUGAGACGCGAAAGCGUGGGGAGCAAACAGG